This 1324-nucleotide long non-coding RNA is filed under the name Lactuca sativa (garden lettuce). RNAcentral describes it as "long non-coding RNA (LSAT_LNC005142)". Lineage: Eukaryota; Viridiplantae; Streptophyta; Magnoliopsida; Asterales; Asteraceae. The record is from RNAcentral.
CACACGCUCUCAGUCGCCCGUGGGUGAAAAAGACAUGAAUGCCCUUCUCGAUCUUUUGUAAGUAAUUUUUUGUCCCACCCGAAAAGGUGGAAUAACGUGGGAGGGACUCACAAGGCUUGAGCUCUCAUCUGUGCAAAAGACAUAAAAGCGCUGCUCAUCCUCAUCGUCGAAAAUAGACUUAGAAAGUUUGUCUAGUCCUCUCAUUUUUUCCCACUUUGUCUAAUUGUAGGAUUAUAUUUUUUGUUUUUUCCGGAUUAAACCUUAACUUUAUUUUUUUUCCUUGAAAAAAACCUUGCAUUUUUUCAUUUUUUUCCGAUCUGGCUCUUUAGUCAUUUUUGCCCAAAAAAACUUAAAAAUGUGAGGGCUUUUUCGAGAAAAACUAAAAAAAUUAAGGGUUUAUUGGGAAACGGUUAGAAGGUUGAGGGUCUUUUUGGAACAAAAAGACAAAGUUUAGGGUUUUUUUGGAAAAAAUGAAAAAAAAUACAAGGUCAUUUUCAAGGGAAAAAAAUAAAGAUGAGGUUUAAUCCCAAAAAAAUAGAAAAUAUAAGGGUGCGUUUGGUUGUGGAAAAUUUUUUAAGAAACCUAGAAAGUUUUCCAAGGAAAACGGAAAUUUUGAAAAUGCGUUCGGUUUAUUCAAUUUUCCAAAAUUUUCUAAGAAAAUGAAAAUUUUCAUUUUUCCAAAUGGUAUGUAAAUUAGAAAAAUAAUUUUUACAAUUUUCCAAAAUUUUCUAAAUUUCUAAGAUGGAAAAUGAAAACUCCACCGUUUCCAACCAAACGUUUUUUCUAAAACUUUUAUUGAAAAUCGAAAAUAAAAACCCAACUCUAUUUUUUGAAAACAUUUUCUUGGAAAAUGAAAACAGUUUUCCACAACCAAACGCACCCUAAGCUCUUCUAUAAGAUGAGAUGAAACAUGAAGAACACACUUUCUCCACGUCACCGUGAUGUCCUUUUGAGUAUCCAUACGUAAGAUACUCUGCUACUAAGCCUCCAACAAUCACACAUAAGAACUUGCUUAAUACCUAAGGAAAAUCAAACCGAUCAAUAUAAGUCACAUGAUGAAAUUAAAAAAGCACAAUAGAAGUAGAGAAGAAAAGUAGGCCAUGUUUGUUCAAUAAGUAAGAACACCAUGGCCUUGAACUGCAUUUAGUGUGUAUUGGACCGAGACUCAUGUAGAUGGGACAAAAAGUGCAAUUUUUUGUCCUACCUAAAAGAAUACAACAAGGUGGGAUGUCCCACUUAUUGUUGGUGGUUUGGGGGUCAUAUUUAGGUUCGUGGGUUCGUGAGUUCGUGGGUCAGAUUCCAUAAAUAAAACUUAUAAUNNNNN